GAGGCAGCCGGCAAGUGCAAAGGCUGCAUCUGUACUUACUGUAAAGGUAACACAGUUCCUGUCACACUCUAUCUAGAGGACUGCAUAGCUACAGCUAAUAGGACAGCAACAGCAAGGCAAAGUAAGGAAGGAGAGACACAGACUGCUGCUGCAUACACUUGUCUAUAUAUUGCUCUUUGUGGUCAAGAUAAUACACAGAACCUCCACAAAGCAGACAGAGAAGAUCAAGUUUCAGUAAAUGACCUGUUCAAACAGCAAGAGCAGUCUGCAAGAACCUGAACACAAGAUGCUUUUCUCCCUGUCUCUCUGUCUCUCUCUUGCCUCCUGGCCCAUAUCCUCUGAAUUACAGUCUAGAGCCUCGAGGGAGCCCAUCCUCCAAUUUGAGGAUGCUACUGCACAGAAUCAAAAACCUAACAAACAGAAAACUGUGUUUCUGAACCUAUUCAUAAUGAAUUCAAAAUCAUACAAAACAUAGGUAAAUAACAUAUUUAAUGUUAAGAACAACUCGAUUACUGGUUUCAUUAAAAUUCUUUCUCUAAAUGA
Long non-coding RNA from Dromaius novaehollandiae (emu), 543 nucleotides. RefSeq lists it as uncharacterized. The record is from RefSeq and is a predicted model, not a curated record. The transcript is spliced from 3 exons. Lineage: Eukaryota; Metazoa; Chordata; Aves; Casuariiformes; Dromaiidae.